CCUACGGGGGGCAGCAGUAGGGAAUCUUCCACAAUGGGCGAAAGCCUGAUGGAGCAACGCCGCGUGGGUGAAGAAGGUCUUCGGAUCGUAAAACCCUGUUGUUAGAGAAGAAAGUACGUGAGAGUAACUGUUCACGUUUCGACGGUAUCUAACCAGAAAGCCACGGCUAACUACGUGCCAGCAGCCGCGGUAAUACGUAGGUGGCAAGCGUUAUCCGGAUUUAUUGGGCGUAAAGGGAACGCAGGCGGUCUUUUAAGUCUGAUGUGAAAGCCUUCGGCUUAACCGGAGUAGUGCAUUGGAAACUGGGAGACUGGAGUGCAGAAGAGGAGAGUGGAACUCCAUGUGUAGCGGUGAAAUGCGUAGAUAUAUGGAAGAACACCAGUGGCGAAAGCGGCUCUCUGGUCUGUAACUGACGCUGAGGUUCGAAAGCGUGGGUAGCAAACAGGAUUAGAUACCCGAGUAGUC
Molecule: ribosomal RNA, 465 nt
Filed under: uncultured bacterium
Lineage: Bacteria
Description: partial 16S ribosomal RNA
Rfam family: Bacterial small subunit ribosomal RNA
Source: RNAcentral